ACACACACUUGUAUUGCAAUUACCUGUUCUUUAAAACUGUAUUGGGGUGUUUUGAAUUGGAGAUCUUUAAUCACAUUUCUAGUUCUAUCUGUUGAUUUUUCUUGUCUUUGAAUUCUGCUUUGGACACAACAAAUUCAGAGUGCCCAGCAUAGUUCCUUUAAGGAGACUUUUCAGCCAUGUAGUACCGGUCACGAUCCACAUAAACGAGCAUUCCAACAUGGCCCCUCAUUGAAAACCCUUCAUUAUGUGUUCUUGGGAAUACUAUGUUGGGAAGUCAGAGCUCCUCAUCAGACUAUUAUGAUCAUACUUGUACAUGUCUUUCUCCAUAUACUGGAAGUGGAGUUGUUUGGGUUUGGUCAGGGAUAUGCUUGUGUUCAACUUUAAUUCUUCUAAAUACAUUCCCAAACAAGUGUACCAACUGGCACUCCCACCAACAGUUGUAUGAAUGUUCUGCUUUCUCUGUAUCCUUGACAACAUUUGGCAUCAGUUUAAAACAAUGUUUGCUACUCUGGUAAGUAUCAUGGUUUGCGUUUCCUUUUUUUUUUUUUUUUUCUGAUUAUUUAUUAGCUGUUUGGAUAUUCUUGCAAUUUCUCUACUCCUUGCUCCUGACAUUGGAUGCAUUAGGUGUAUCUGGUUUCACAAAGCAUCUGUAAGACAUGUAGAGCAGGAUGUAACACCUGGGCAGUGAUAGGCAGUGACUCUGUGUGUGUGUGUGUGUGUGUGUGUGUGUGUGUGUGUGUGUGUUCAUCCCCCAGCAGACAUGAGCUGGGUGAUGGCUGUGGUGGAAUCAGUUUUAUCUUUCCCUCUCUAGCUCCCAAUAUGGGCCAUGACCCUUAGUUAUUUGAUGUAGUUAGGAUAUACUCAGCAAAAAUCAGAAUACCAAACUAGCUGAAGCAAUGAGGAAGUAUACUGAGUCAAAUAACAGGCUCUUGGGAGGAGAGGAGUUUCCAGAGAUUUUUGAUUCAUCAGCAAAAGGAAGUAUUCAGAGACGCAGAUUCUCUUCUGUUUUUUACUAUGCAUUCCUCAGUGUUGACUAGGGUACCAUGAUGGCUGACAGACAUUUUAGACAUUAUAUACAGGCAUGACAAUAUUCAGGGCAAAGAGUAUGAGAGAUCAUUUUUUGUGACUUUUAGGAGCAAGGAACAUUUCCCAUUAGCCAACAGUGUAUGUCUGCUUUUAUCCUAAUUGUUAAAUUGGGUCACAGGUAAUUUCUGAAAUAAUCACUGGUAUUACUUUAAGUUAAUCACAGACUCUUGAAGGUUUUAUUUAAAUAAAUAGGUCAGGCUCAAAGAUUUCAUUAUCUUUUUUUUUUUUUUUUUUUUUGAGAGAGAGCGAGCGAGCGAGCACAAGCAGGGGAGGGGGCAGAGGGAGAGAGAGAAUCUUAAGCAGGUUCCACGCUAGCCCGACACGGGGCUCAAUCCCAUGACCCUGUUAUGACCUGAGCUGAAAUCAAGAGUCAGACACUCAACUCACUGAGCCACUCAGGUGCCCCUUCGUUAUCUUUUUAUGCAUGUAUGAAGAAAGAACCAGUGAUCCUUUAUUUUAACAAUAACAAAAAAUUUUACAUGUACACAUGUCACAAAACAGAUGACAAUUUAAAAUUAAAUGUGUAUAUUAAGACCACCAAACAUAAUCACAGACUAAUCAGAGGUUUGCGUUUAUUUCGCAAAGACAACAAAAAUUCUGAAGUAGUCAAUAUUAUUAGAACAUUUACUAGUACUUUUCCAUCAUCUGAUUUUUUGUGUGUGUGCAGCUAUGAGGGACAGGGGAAAUAUUAAUGGUUUAACCUUGUAAAGUGUUUUUUUUGUUGUUGUUGUUGUUCCCAGAGUCAGAGAAGCCUACUCUUUUAACUCCUGGAAUUCUGUUAGUUUCAAGGAUGAGAAGGUCAAGGUUGGCAAUGUGGAAAUGAAGUCAAAGGUGUGGUGCUCCAGCCAUGCUGUUAAAAUGUGGAUUCCUUGGAAUUUUAAGGUAAGAGCCUAAUGUCUCCCUAAUUGACUUGCUUCCCAGUAUGAAAAGUAUGAUGGCUUGGUAUAUACAUGUAAAUGUUAUGAAUCAUUGUCACUUAUGGAGCUGUUGAAAGAAACAGAAAACAAUGAAUUUAUUUAUCUUAUGUUUUUUGCCAGUGCUCAUUGGUUGAAUGGUGGAAGAGUUAUACAAAGAUUUACGGUACUUUCAACUCUGAGGCUUUCUUAAAAAAAAAAAAAAAAAAAACUUGGGGCGCCUGGGUGGCUCAGUCGGUUAAGCCUCCGACUUCAGCUCAGGUCACAAUCUCGCGGUCCGCGAGUUCGAGCCCCGCGUCCGGCUCUGGGCUGAUGGCUCAGAGCCUGGAGCCUGCUUCCGAUUCUGUGUCUCCCUCUCUCUCUGCCCCUCCCCCGUUCAUGCUCUGUCUCUUUCUGUCUCAAAAAUAAAUAGAAACGUUAAAAAAAAAAAAACUUGGUGGGGUGCCUGGGUGGCUUAGUCAGUUAAGUGUCUGACUUUGGCUCAGGUCAUGAUCUUGUGGUUUGUGACUUUGAGCCCCUCGUCGGGCUCUGUGCUCUCUCAGUCUCUCUCUCUCUCUGCCCCUUCCCCACUUGUGCUCUUUCUCUCUCUCAAAAAUAAAUAUUUAAAAAAAUUUAAAAAUACUUGGCAAAUAUUUCAUAAUCAAGACCCCCAAAAUGACAGUGUGAUCUGCUUUCUCACAAGUAUCACACUGCAUUUGAACAAACAAAAUCUGAAAUUCCAAGGAAAGGAAAAACUGUUUUUAUGACUUAGCUAAAAGGGUAGGAAUAUUUCCUGAAAAUGACACUUUUCAUAAGUUAAUACUAAUUUUACUAAUUUUCCUAUCAUGAAUCGAUAUAUGAAAGAUUUUCUUCAGAAUCAAAAGUAUUGUCAAAAUAUGCAAUUAAGAAACAGGAAAUCUUAGUAAGGAAAUAGAAGCUAUAAAAAAAGCACUAAAUGAGGACUAUAGGACUAAAAAGUGCAACAUCUCAAAUUUAAGACUUGAUAGAUAAGCUUAACAGCAUAAUUGAAAUGAUGGGAAAAAGAAUCAGUGAAUUUGAAGAUAGAGUAAUAGAAAUUAUCCAAUCUGAAAAACAGAAAAACAGUUGAAGACAACAGAACAAGUGACCUGUGGAAUAAUAUCAAAAGAUUUAACAUGAGUACUUGGAAUCCCAGAAGGAGAGGCAAAGGCAGAAAAAAAAAUCUGAAUAUGGAUAAAAGUUUCUGGAAUUUGGGGAAAGGCAUACAGAUUUCAGAGGCUCAGAGAACUCCAAACAGGAUUAACAUAAAACCAUACCUAGACCAGCAUAGUCAAACAGAUGAAAAACAGAGAUAAUGACAAAAUCUUGAAAACAUGCAAAGAGAAAUGACACAGAAGGAAAAGAAUUCAAAUGACUUCUCAUCAUAAUCUAUGGAGGCCAGAAGUCAGCGUUACAAUAUCUUUUUCAAAAUACACAAUAAAACCCAUAAGUCUAUUUUAAGAAAAAUACUCCCUUCAAGAACAAAGGCAUUCAGUAAAAGAAACUGAAAAUUCAUCACCGGCAGAUGUGCACUCCAAGAAAUGCUAAAGUUCUUUAAGGUGAAGGAAAAUGAUACCACAUGGAAAUUCAGACCAUUGGGAAUUGGUAACUGGAAAUAAUGAAGAGCACGGGGAAAAGUAAAUAUAUGGAUAAAUAUAAAAUAUGAGGAGUUUUGGGGGGGGUCUUAAUUUCUUUAAAAUAAUAACCAAUUUAAAUUUCAAGUGGAAUGCCAAUGUGACUUUCCGUGGAUUAUUAAUUGCAAAGAAAAAAUGUACCAGUACAACGGAGAGAAAUGGU
Molecule: long non-coding RNA, 3794 nt
Organism: Neofelis nebulosa (Clouded leopard)
Lineage: Eukaryota; Metazoa; Chordata; Mammalia; Carnivora; Felidae
Exons: 2
Source: RefSeq, a predicted model, not a curated record